AGAGUUUGAUCAUGGCUCAGAACGAACGCUGGCGGCAGGCCUAACACAUGCAAGUCGAACGAGCUGGGACUUUCGGGUCCCGAUGCUAGUGGCGCACGGGUGAGUAACACGUGGGAAUCUACCCUGUAGUACGGAAUAACUGAGGGAAACUUCGGCUAAUACCGUAUACGUCCUCGGGAGAAAGAUUUAUCGCUAUAGGA
RNAcentral lists this ribosomal RNA (200 nucleotides) under uncultured bacterium. RNAcentral describes it as "partial 16S ribosomal RNA". It matches the Rfam family "Bacterial small subunit ribosomal RNA", at positions 8 to 225 of the family's 1533-position model. The record is from RNAcentral.